CUGACUCAGUUGUGUUUUCUGGUUUUGGGGAAUAUCUUUAAUCACCACAUGAAUGUUUAUAAACUGUUGGGGCUAAACAUGAAACUCACUCUUCAGGUGCCGUCUCCACCUAGCCACCGUGUACAUUUUCUUUCUCUCUCUUGCAGCUGUUCUCUUCCUACGGACUGAAUGAAAAAUAAAAGGAAGUCAUUUCUGCAUGUGUCACAGAGGCAUCCUUUGGUUCUAAAGGAAGCUAAGUUGGAUUCCACAAGCCCAUGGUCCUUAUAGCAUGUGAAUAGGAUUCAGUCACGGACGAGAAGGAAGAGGUUCAGGAGAGACUGUAAUCGCCCUGUCCAGGCUAACCCUCCAGCUGUGCAGGAGUAUCAAGUCCAAAAAGAAGCUCUUCAAACCAUCUGGGAAGAGAAAACAGCAUGACAAGGAAAGGUGUAUUUGUCUGAUUCUAGGAAUCAAUAUAAACAUCCAUGAUAACCCCAUCUAAUUUUUAAAUGUAUGAUUUGGAUGAAACAAGAGAAGACACUGAUUGUUGCUGAGUCCCUGCUGUAGUCCUGACACAGCUGGAGAUGCCCUGCUCUCCUUAUUUUCUUGAUGCUCAUGAGGACCCUGAUGUCUAAGGAAGAAGGUUCUCGUCCAGGUCUGCCCCUGGUGUGUCACGUGCCAGCCUUGUCAAUGCACACGAGAACCUGACAGGUUUUAUGAUUUUAGAACAUAAGUUUUAUGAUUGUUAGUGCUGGGCAACAAAAAGGAGUCCAGAGGAACGGGAGAAAAAACAACAAUAGCAAUGAUGUGAAUGCAAAACAUGAACCAGACUAAGCAGAGCAGAGGGCGGUGUGGAGCGGGAAGCAGAGACAGAAGCUUGUGAUGUUUCAGUGAUUGCUGGGAGUUAUUCAUCACCGGUAAGCCUCAUGUUCCAAAGACUCAUCAGGGCCAGGGGUUAGUUUUACGAGCUCUGUGUAAAAGAUCAUUACACAGGGCCAGUUAGAGUUCCCGCAGGAAGGAAGCGGCACACCCUAUGGGGUGAUUAGGAAGAGUGUCAUGAAGGGUGCCACACUCACACCCUAGGAAAGAGGAAAGGGGCCCAAGGGGACUCACAGAGGGAGCAGAGGGUCUGUGGGCCACAGCCAGCCCAACCACAGAGUGGCCAGAGUGACAUAGGCCCCCUCUCUGCAGGCUGGUCUCCUGCUUGGGUGUGCCCCAAGUCACCCACCCAGAAGUCAAAGGUCGAGCAUGCUUUCCAUGAAGUCUGGAGGUACAGAGCAAGGCAGACAGCCACGGGCGUGUCAGGAGGGCAGCGGGAAAUGCUCAUCCCCUUCUCCAAGAAGAGGGAAUCCCACCAUCCACAGGUUCUUCCUGCUCUGUCUCAAAGGCGGAGGCAGCUAGAAUACUCUGUCAAAAAGCAACCACAGGAAGAACAUAAUGUCAAUGCAUGGCUUUAUGUUAACAUAAUUACAUUUAUUCCAGACAAAGGUUUUUUGUAAAUUAAAGAUAGAUUAUGUUGCAACUUUUAUACUCCUCUGCCUAAUUUAGUGAGUAUUUGAUAUAUUCAGAUUUAUUUUAACCAAUUAGUUUUUUUUAAUAGAGGCAGGGUCUCAGUCUGUCACCUUGGCUGAAGUGCUGGUGUGAUCACAGCUCACUACAGCCUUGACCUCCUGGGCUCAAAUGAUCCUCUCACCUCAAUCUCUCAAGUAGCUGGGACUACGGACGAGCACCACCACAAUCACCUAAUUUUUUUUUUUAAUUUUUAGUAGAGACCAGGUCUCACUAACUUGCCCGGGCUGGCCUUGAACUCCUGAGUCCAAAUGAUCCUCCUGCCUUAGCCUCCCAAAGUGCCUGCAAUUACAGACAUAAGCCACCGUGCCAGCCGGCUGAUUAAAUUAAUUAUAUGUGUGCCUUAACUAAAAAAUGAGAUUGCUCAAUAUAGAGUAACUUGUUUUUCUUAUAGAAUUAUCAGAAAGUAAUGCUUUUUUGAAAUGUUGUUUCACUAAAAUAUUUUUAAUUUGUUUUCUUGGUAUUUCGUUAUGACAAUUUUUUCCUUCUACCUCAACUGCCGUACUGUCAGCAUUUCCUGAGGGUCCGAUAAGUAGGGAAAUGCACCAAGAAGCAACGUGGACCAAGCAAUAAAAAUAAACAAAUAAAAGAAGAAAAUCCCACUGCAAAAAAGUCUGAAACAGAAUUCUUGACUCCCCGACAUUCAUCCCUGCCUCAGCCUGUCCCCCAUUUCACCCUCCUUAUUUCCACACAGGGCUGUGCAUCCCUACUCGCUCAGAUCUAAAACUCUACACCCUAUGCCCAACUCCUCUUUCCUGCACACUUCCUACCAGCCCAUCAGAAAGCCUGCUGACUCCUCUCCUGAAGCACUGCGUGAGGGUGACCCCUCCUCCCUGUGAGCACCGCAACAGCCCCAGUGGAACCACCAUCCCGGCCCCGAUGCAACUGUUUCCCCACAGGGUCCCCACACAUAGCCAUGGUGUAUCCCCUCCAAAACACCCACUCUGCCUGAACACUUCCCCAGCUCUUUAUAUGACUGCCUUCAUUGUAUCAUUCAUCUCUUACCUCAAUUGAACUUCCUCAAAGAAGUGUCCUCACUUAUUCUACAUAUGACAACAUGAGUAACAUCACUCCUUUCCCCAGACUCACUCGUCAUUCCAUUGCAUUUCCCAUUUUCUACAGUGAUCACAAAGUCUGUAUCUAAUUGGAAAAUACUUAUCUGCUUUACUUAUCAUCUGCUUUAAUUUUUAAGUUUUCUUUUUUCUUCUGGACAUCAACUUCCAUGUUGAUGGACGCUGUUGAGCAUUUCCUAGGAAGUGUUUAGGUUUGAGCUGCAAGAGCUGCCUUGUCCAAGACUGAUUUCCACAGGCUGGUCUCCUGCAAAGCCUCAUGGCUAUGGCCAAGUGCUUAAGCUCAGAUGGGGUGGUGAAUUGGUGAAUUACACCAGAACCCUGCCAUGCCAUAGAAGCUACAACUGCAAGGUUAGAAGCUCAGUGCCGUGAUCUGGCCAAGUGUUGAAACUCAGAUGGGGUGGUGAAUUGGUGAAUCAUGUCACGACCCUUCCAUGCCGUAGAAGCCACAACUACAAGGCUAGGAACCCAGUGUCCUGUUGAGAGACAGGACUAGCUGGAUUUCCUAGGCCAACUAAGAAUCCCUAAGCCUAGCUGGG
Long non-coding RNA from Homo sapiens (human), 3154 nucleotides. RefSeq lists it as uncharacterized. The record is from RefSeq and is a predicted model, not a curated record. The transcript is spliced from 3 exons. NCBI's taxonomy places the organism in Eukaryota, Metazoa, Chordata, Mammalia, Primates, Hominidae.